RNAcentral lists this transfer RNA (65 nucleotides) under Pulchriphyllium bioculatum. Its description in RNAcentral is "tRNA-Pro". Lineage: Eukaryota; Metazoa; Arthropoda; Insecta; Phasmatodea; Phylliidae. The record is from RNAcentral.
CAAAGGUUAGUUUAAUUUUUAAAAUAAUAGUUUUGGGAAUUGUUGAUGAUUUUCUUCUCCUUUGA